CCGUCUUUAGCUCAGUUGGAAGAGCAUCAGACUGUAAUUGUAACCUGCAUUGGUCAUCUGGGUGUCGCCUGUUCGAACCAGGCAAGACGGA
Favolaschia claudopus is the source of this 91-nucleotide non-coding RNA. The record is from the annotation of a GenBank genome assembly. NCBI's taxonomy places the organism in Eukaryota, Fungi, Basidiomycota, Agaricomycetes, Agaricales, Mycenaceae.